RNAcentral lists this small nuclear RNA (300 nucleotides) under Nannospalax galili (Upper Galilee mountains blind mole rat). RNAcentral describes it as "7SK RNA (ENSNGAG00000006837.1)". It matches the Rfam family "7SK RNA". Rfam says of the family: 7SK was discovered as an abundant small nuclear RNA in the mid-70s but a possible function has only recently been suggested. Two independent studies have found that 7SK RNA binds the CDK9/cyclin T complex (known as elongation factor P-TEFb). The record is from Rfam by way of RNAcentral. Lineage: Eukaryota; Metazoa; Chordata; Mammalia; Rodentia; Spalacidae.
GGAUACAAGGGCAAUCUGGCUGCAAUACUUGUCACGCUGUUGAUUGCUAAGGUUGAUUCGAUUCAUCUAGCUGUCUAGGAGGGUGGUCUCCUUCCUACCUCACUGCUCCUUGUGCAUCUCUGUCCUUCUCAAAGCUGUGCACUCGGUUAAGGAGCUUGAACUUCCCUGAUAGAGAAAGACCAUCCUUUCAUCAAGAGUAUACCAGUAGCUAUGCUCCCCUGCUAGACACUCCGAACAAGCUCUUGAGAUCUUCCCCGGAUGGAGGCAUUUGCUUAUGUCUUCUUUAUAUCCUUGGUACAG